UACGAACCGUCCAAACGUUAUUCGGAAUCACUGGGCUUAAAGGGUGCGUAGGCGGUCCGGUAAGUUGGGUGUGAAAUCCCACGGCUCAACCGUGGAAUUGCGCUCAAAACUGUCGGACUCGAGGAAGAUAGAGGUGAGCGGAACUUAGGGUGGAGCGGUGAAAUGCGUUGAUAUCCUAAGGAACACCGGUGGCGAAAGCGGCUCACUGGGUCUUUUCUGACGCUGAGGCACGAAAGCUAGGGGAG
Molecule: ribosomal RNA, 245 nt
Filed under: uncultured bacterium
Lineage: Bacteria
Description: partial 16S ribosomal RNA
Rfam family: Bacterial small subunit ribosomal RNA
Source: RNAcentral